CAGAGUUUUUUGAUUGCAUGUACUGACCACUUUGGUUGGUGUGUGCAAGUUGAUCUUUAGAAUAAUGGUUUAUUUGGAUUUUGGACAACCCGCUUUUCUCCAUCAGACACUAUCAUUACUUUUCAUUAUUAAAUCAAUUCUCACUUUGUUUUCACUUUUACAUACUCCCCUUUCUCGAAGGCAAAUUGUCAACCCUCAUUUUACCAUGUCUUUUCCAUCUUUUCUUAUUUGUAUGGUCACGGUUAAACCACGUUAACAUGUCUUAUUAUCUUUAUAAAAAAAAUCAAUAUAAAAUAUUAAUGUAACUUAACUGUAAUCACACAAUAUAAAAGGAGAUGGGAAGGAGAUGAUAAUGAAAGAGCAGACAAUCUGCCUCCCCCUUUCUCUCCCAUUUACAACCGGUUUCUCUCUCUCUCUCAUUUCCCACACAUCUCUCCUUCUCUCUAUCUGACACACACAAGCCAUUUCCCAUACUCCCUCACGUCACUCCCUCUCUCUUUUCACUCAUUUCCCUCACAUCUUAAUCUACCGCAUUCCCUCACAUCUCUCCUUCUCUCUAUCUGACACGCACAAGCCAUUUCCCAUACUCCCUCAUGUCACUCCCUCUCUCUUUUCACUCAUUUACCUCACAUCUGAAUUUACCACACCCGUAGCUCUCUCUCCCUCUGAAACUCAUCUCUUCCUCUCGGCGCGACCCAUGCAGCCAUCAUACCAUCUCUAAAACUUCCCAAACUCAACCAAAAAUCGCCUAAAACCUCUGGGACUUGUUACCCACUGUUUGACUGUGAGAAACCUAGAGAAAAACGAAAACCUCGUUGUGUAUGUCGACGAUCGCCUAUGGAAUAAUCACUCUUCCGACCAUGAAUUCCCGAGCAAAACUGGGGUUGAGCGUGUAGGAAGAUUUCCCACAACCCAUUGACCACAGAUUCGAGCUUGCAUGCUUAAAUCCAUCAAGUUCAUGCAAAACUCGAUUUUGGCCGUGGCUUUUAAGCCAAUUUCCGGUCACCUCUGACCAAAUUUUGUUUCCCAAAGAGAUUUUCGAAGGACCAUGGAAUUGCAGGCCAUUUUCCGGCCAAAUGCGACCAUGGACGAGAACCCCAAUGGUAUAUUUCGUUAAUCACGUUAGGUGUUAGAAAUUGUACAAUGUUAGAAUAUGCAUGUUUGGUGGGAAAUUUUAGAAACGAAUGUUGUUGCUGUAUACUGUUUUUACAACAAGGACCAAACUGUAAAAAAUGUUGAAGCUUUUGGGCUAUUUGGUAAUUCUAGGAAGUUGGGGGCAUCCUUGCAAUUACCUUUAGUUUUAGGGGCAAUUUUGUAAAAUGCAAAA
Long non-coding RNA from Malus domestica (apple), 1327 nucleotides. RefSeq lists it as uncharacterized. The record is from RefSeq and is a predicted model, not a curated record. Lineage: Eukaryota; Viridiplantae; Streptophyta; Magnoliopsida; Rosales; Rosaceae.